RNAcentral lists this ribosomal RNA (468 nucleotides) under uncultured bacterium. RNAcentral's name for it is "partial 16S ribosomal RNA". It matches the Rfam family "Bacterial small subunit ribosomal RNA", at positions 28 to 507 of the family's 1533-position model. The record is from RNAcentral.
GACGAACGCUGGCGGCGUGCUUAACACAUGCAAGUCGAACGGAAAGGCCCUGCUUUUGUUGGUUGCUCGAUUGGCGAACGGGUGAGUAACACGUGAGUAACCUGCCCUUGACUUUGGGAUAACUUCAGGAAACUGGGGCUAAUACCGGAUAGGAGCUCCUGCUGCAUGGUGGUGGUUGGAAAGUUUCGGCGGUUGGGGAUGGACUCGCGGCUUAUCAGCUUGUUGGUGGGGUAGUGGCUUACCAAGGCUUUGACGGGUAGCCGGCCUGAGAGGGUGACCGGCCACAUUGGGACUGAGAUACGGCCCAGAAUCCUACGGGCGGCAGCAGUGGGGAAUAUUGCACAAUGGGCGGAAGCCUGAUGCAGCAACGCCGCGUGCGGGAUGACGGCCUUCGGGUUGUAAACAGAUUUCGCCUGUGACGAAGCGUGAGUGACGGUAAUGGGUAAAGAAGCAACGGCUAACUACGUG